UGGGCAUUGGGCGAAAGCCUGAUCAGCCUGCCGCGUGUGUGAAGAAGGCCUUUUGGUUGUAAAGCACUUUAAGUUGGGAGGAAGGGCAUUAACCUAAUACGUUGGUGUCUUGACGUUACCGACAGAAUAAGCACCGGCUAACUCUGUGCCAGCAGCCGCGGUAAUACAGAGGGUGCAAGCGUUAAUCGGAAUUACUGGGCGUAAAGCGCGCGUAGGUGGUUUGUUAAGUUGAAUGUGAAAUCCCCGGGCUCAACCUGGGAACUGCAUCCAAAACUGGCAAGCUAGAGUAUGGUAGAGGGUAGUGGAAUUUCCUGUGUAGCGGUGAAAUGCGUAGAUAUAGGAAGGAACACCAGUGGCGAAGGCGACUACCUGGACUGAUACUGACACUGAGGUGCGAAAGCGUGGGGAG
Molecule: ribosomal RNA, 409 nt
Filed under: uncultured bacterium
Lineage: Bacteria
Description: bacterial SSU rRNA
Rfam family: Bacterial small subunit ribosomal RNA
Source: RNAcentral